This 85-nucleotide small nucleolar RNA is filed under the name Colletotrichum chlorophyti. The record is from RNAcentral. Lineage: Eukaryota; Fungi; Ascomycota; Sordariomycetes; Glomerellales; Glomerellaceae.
ACCUGAUGAACAACUAGAUGACGAGUCUGAUUUACAUUCGUAAUGCGGACACCCUUUUUUUUAUACCAUUCAUGCAACACUGAAC